GCGGUAUGCCUAACACAUGCAAGUCGAACGAGAUUCUUUUUUUGUUUACAAGAGAAUGAUUGCAGUGGCGGACGGGUGAGGAACACGUAAGAACUUACCUUUUGGCGGGGGAUAACAACGGGAAACUGUUGCUAAUACCCCAUAAUGCUGAGGAGCGAAAGGGAAACUGCCAAGAGAGAGGCUUGCGUCUGAUUAGCUAGUUGGAGGAGGUAAAUGCUCCCCAAGGCGACGAUCAGUAGCUGGUCUGAGAGGAUGAUCAGCCACACUGGGACUGAGACACGGCCCAGACUCCUACGGGAGGCAGCAGUGGGGAAUUUUCCACAAUGGGCGAAAGCCUGAUGGAGCAAUACCGCGUGAGGGAUGAAGGAUCGUGGUCUGUAAACCUCUUUUCUUAAGGAAGAAUAAAUGACGGUACUUAAGGAAUAAGCACCGGCUAACUCCGUGCCAGCAGCCGCGGUAAUACGGGGGGUGCAAGCGUUGUCCGGAAUGAUUGGGCGUAAAGCAUCUGUAGGUGGUUUUUAAAGUCAACUGUUAAAGCCCAGGGCUUAACUUUGGAAAAGCGGUUGAGCACUUAAGGACUCGAGUAUGGUAGGGGUAGAGGGAAUUCCUUGUGGAGCGGUGAAAUGCACAGAGAUAAGGAAGAACACCGAAGGCGAAAGCACUCUACUGGCCAUGACUGACACUGAGAGAUGAAAGUCGGGGGAGCGAAAAGGAUUAGAUACCCUUGUAGUCCCGACUGUAAACGAUGGAUACUAAGUGCUGACAAAAUCAGUGCUGUAGCUAACGCGUUAAGUAUCCCGCCUGGGGAGUAUGCUCGCAAGAGUGAAACUCAAAGGAAUUGACGGGAAUUGGCACAAGCGGUGGAUU
RNAcentral lists this ribosomal RNA (867 nucleotides) under uncultured Scenedesmus. RNAcentral describes it as "bacterial SSU rRNA". It matches the Rfam family "Bacterial small subunit ribosomal RNA", at positions 39 to 938 of the family's 1533-position model. The record is from RNAcentral. Lineage: Eukaryota; Viridiplantae; Chlorophyta; Chlorophyceae; Sphaeropleales; Scenedesmaceae.